RNAcentral lists this ribosomal RNA (494 nucleotides) under uncultured bacterium. RNAcentral's name for it is "partial 16S ribosomal RNA". It matches the Rfam family "Bacterial small subunit ribosomal RNA", at positions 28 to 507 of the family's 1533-position model. The record is from RNAcentral.
GACGAACGCUGGCGGCGUGCUUAACACAUGCAAGUCGAACGGUGAAGCGCCUUCCUUUUUGGUGGGUGUGGAUGAGUGGCGAACGGGUGAGUAACACGUGAGUAACCUGCCCCCUUCUUCUGGAUAACCGCAUGAAAGUGUGGCUAAUACGGGAUAUUCUGGGUCUGUCGCAUGAUGGGUCUGGGAAAGAUAUUGUUUCGGUGGGGGAUGGGCUCGCGGCCUAUCAGCUUGUUGGUGGGGUGAUGGCCUACCAAGGCGGUGACGGGUAGCCGGCCUGAGAGGGUGGACGGUCACACUGGGACUGAGGCACGGCCCAGACUCCUACGGGAGGCAGCAGUGGGGAAUAUGGCACAAUGGGCGCAAGCCUGAUGCAGCGACGCCGCGUGAGGGAUGGAGGCCUUCGGGUUGUGAACCUCUUUCGCCAGUGAAGCAGGCCUGCCUCGUUUGUGGGUGGGUUGACGGUAGCUGGAGAAGAAGCGCCGGCUAACUACGUG